This 1448-nucleotide ribosomal RNA is filed under the name uncultured Bordetella sp. RNAcentral's name for it is "partial 16S-23S ribosomal RNA intergenic spacer". It matches the Rfam family "Bacterial small subunit ribosomal RNA". Lineage: Bacteria; Pseudomonadati; Pseudomonadota; Betaproteobacteria; Burkholderiales; Alcaligenaceae. The record is from RNAcentral.
GUUCGAUCCUGGCUCCAGAUUGAACGCUGGCGGGAUGCUUUACACAUGCAAGUCGAACGGCAGCACGGACUUCCGGUCUGGUAGUGGCGAACGGGUGAGUAAUGUAUCGGAACGUGCCCUAGUAGCGAAGGGGAUAACUACGCGAAAGCGUAGCUAAACAUACGCCCUUCGAAGCGGGGGACAGCGGGCCUCGCACUAUUAGAGCGGCCGAUAUCGGAUUAGCUAGUUGGUGGGAGUAACGGCUCACCAAGGCGACGAUCCGUAGCUGGUUUUGAGAGGACGACCAGCCACACUGGGACGUAGGGCGGCCCGGAGCUCCUGCGAAGGAGGCAGCGGUGGGGAAUUUUGGACAAUGGAAACCUGAUCCAGCCAUCCCGCGUGUGCGAUGAAGGCCUUCGGGUUGUAAAGCGCGGCGGGAAAGAAACGGCGCAAUACCCCGUGCAACUGACAACCUGCAGAAUAAGCACCGAUAACUACGUGCCAGCAACCGCGCGGUAAUACGUAGGGUGCAAGCGUUAAUCAAUUACUGGGCGUAAAGCGUGCAUGACGGUUCGAAGAAGAUGUAGCAGGCUUAACUUUGGAACUGCAUUUUUUAACUACCGAGCUAGAGUGUGUCAGAGGGAGGUGGAAUUCCACGCGUGUAGCAGUGAAAUGCGUAGAUAUGCGGAGGAACACCAUUAGGCAGCCUCUGGAUAACACUGACGCUCAUGCACGAAAGCGUGGGAGCAAACAGGAUUAGAUACCCUGGUAGUCCACGCCCUAAACGAUGUCAACUAGCUGUUGGGGCCUUUGGGCCUUGGUAGCGCAGCUAACGCGUGAAGUUGACGCCUGGGAAGUACGGUCGCAAGAUUAAAACUCCAAAGGAAUUGACGGGGACCCGCACAAGCGGUGGAUGAUGUGGAUUAAUUCGAUGCAACGCGAAAAACCUUACCUACCCUUGACAUGUCUGGAAUCCCGAAGAGAUUUGGGGCCUUAUAAAGAGAACCGGAACACAGGUGCUGCAUGGCUGUCGUCAGCUCGUGUCGUGAGAUGUUGGGUUAAGUCCGCAACGAGCGCAACCCUUGUCGUGGACGUUGCUACGAAAGGGCACUCUAAUGAGACUGCCGGUGACAAACCGGAGAGUGGGGAUGACGUCAAGUCCUCAUGGCCCUUAUGGGUAGGGCUUCACACGUCAUACAAUGAACGGGACAGAGAGGUCGCCAACCCGCGAGAGGUAAUCCCAGAAACCCGAUCGUAGUCCGGAUCGCAGUCUGCAACUCGACUGCGUGAAGUCGGAAUCGCUAGUAAUCGCGGAUCAGCAUGUCGCGGUGAAUACGUUCCCGGGUCUUACACCGCCCGUCACACCAUGGGGAGUGGGUUUUACCAAAGUAGUUAGCCUAACCGCAAGAGGCGAUUACCACGGUAGGAUUCAUGACUGGGGUGAAGGAAGUCGUAACAAGGUAACUGGC